This 399-nucleotide ribosomal RNA is filed under the name uncultured bacterium. Its description in RNAcentral is "bacterial SSU rRNA". It matches the Rfam family "Bacterial small subunit ribosomal RNA", at positions 28 to 420 of the family's 1533-position model. The record is from RNAcentral.
GACGAACGCUGGCGGCGUGCCUAACACAUGCAAGUGGAGCGACGAACCGGGCUUCGGCCCGGGGCCAAGCCGCGAACGGGUGAGUAACACGUGGGUAACCUGCCCUGAUGAUUGGGACAACCCGAGGAAACUCGGGCUAAUACCGAAUGUGCCCUCCGACCAUAAGGUCUGCGGGGAAAGGAAGCUUCGGCCUCCGCAUCGGGAUGGGCCCGCGGCGCAUUAGCUUGUUGGUGAGGUAACGGCUCACCAAGGCGACGAUGCGUAGCUGGUCUGAGAGGACGAUCAGCCACACUGGGACUGAGACACGGCCCAGACUCCUACGGGAGGCAGCAGUGGGGAAUCUUGCGCAAUGCGCGAAAGCGUGACGCAGCAACGCCGCGUGGGGGAAGACGGCCUCGG